GGUAACAUGCUUACAGUGUGUUUAUCUUUGCACUGCAGCAAGAAAAAUCUGCAUAUGCCAGUAGUCUCUGUUACAGAUAUGUAUCUUUUGCAGUAUUUACAUCUUGGGACAGAAUUCUGAUAUUUAUUUCAUUUAAGUUCUUUACUAGAUAUUUGUGCAUCUUUACCUCUUUUAGGAUGCGGGACCUAAUUUUGUUUCUGUGUGUGAUUUUUGCUUAUGAAUCUUUCAUGAAUUUGCUUCGGACAAUGCUGGCUAUCUUCCACCUAUAUUCUGUGAGGAAAGCAAACAUUUGCAACUGAGAAGCUGCUUGUAUUCACAGGUAUUCUUUUCUGAAGCACCUCGUGCUGUGUAGUUGCAGGUGUUUGGGGUCUUUUUUUGUUUGUUUGUUUUCCAAUGUCAAUAUUGGACAGCUGCAUGUAAAGUGUGAAACAGAACUAAAGUCAGGAAGAAACAGGGUAGUCGUUACAUUCUUUUUCUUUUUUUCUCCUUUUUUCCCCUUCUCGUUUCCACUAUGUUGCAUAUAAUUUAAAGACUAACGUACUGAAUCUCCGAGAGUAGGUGGAAAUAUUGAGGGCAACUGACAUAAAGUUUCACUAGUAACAAGUAAUUAUCAUCUAUAAACUCUUCCAAAGAACUACUUCUGUCAGAUGAGUAACCAGUUUGCGAGAAGAAUUGCUGCAAGCAGCACAUAAACCACGACUGUGGUACAGUUAAAAGGAGCACUUCUGUGUACAGAGAGAAGUUAGGCUGCUCCCAGUCUGAAAACUUGGAGCAAACUGAAUGUGCAGCUGAAUAGAAAGCAAGUCAAACUGCAGGAGUAUUUUAUCACCACCUUUGUAAAACAAAAAAGUCAGGCUGGAAUGGAGUUCCAAAGCCCUGUAUUCAAGAAAUGAGGAGGAACGGGAAGGCACCAAGAUGGCUCUGCAGAACAGUGGCAGUACUGUCUCUAAGGCUAUCACCUCUGUGUUGUGUGAACUGGGCCAUCAGCUGUUUGGACAACAGUAACUGGAAUGGAAAAGAAAUUACUUGAAUCUAACAGAGGGUGUAUUCUGCUAAGUGGCUGCAGUGUAACAGGAACAGCUGUCAAUUUAAGAAAUGCUUCUCACCUUUCUGCUGGGGGAACCUCAUGUUAUUUUCCAAGGUCCAGAUCUUGUCAUCAUGGCUUAGUUUAUGGAUAUUUACUUUACAUUCUUCUUCCUUCAUGUUUUUACCAAGACAAAUUCCUUUCUUUACCCUGUUUAAGCUGUGGACAACUCCUGUGAUGAUAACAUCAGAAGUUUGUGCCCUGUUCCUGUCUCACUUGAAGCCAGUGAGUUCCUGUAUAGAUUUCAGGACAAAAUGCAGUGGGCCACUGAGCAGACUUCAAAAUUGUGAACCAAAGACAUCAAAACAUAGAUAGGAAUGAUCUUCACUCAAGAAAAUGCAAUAGCUGCUAUUGCAGGGAAUCAACAUUUUGCUGAGCUGGUGCAAGUCCAGAGCAACCUCCCAGAAUGGUGGAAUUCCUUCAACAGCUAAAACAAGAAUGCUGACAGAAGAUGAGGCAAGGAACAACAGCUUUGUGUUCGGUUCAGGAAGAUUGAGAGUUUUUUUCUGUUUAUCCUCCUGGCAUGUCAAGGCCUGCAUUGCAAAUGGAUGGGACUAGACAGAGGCCCUGCUGAAGAUGGUUUUUGCCUGAGGCUUCUCAUCAUGACCUACAAGAUGAGGAAUUACUGCCUCUAGCCCAGUGAUUACUUCUAAUAUCAGAAUAGAGAGUAGACAAAGAAAGAGUUCCCUUUGUUAAAUCACAUUCCCAGGAGCAAAUCAGUUCCCUCUUCUGCUGGGUCAGCAUUGAUGUUUCUAGAUCUUAACAUGUCUGCGAAAAAGCCCGACUCUUUUGUACUCUGCUGGCAACUUUAUUUGAAUCACUGGAGGAAUAUAGUGUGCUCCUUUCCCUGGCAGCAGGUAUAUGCUUGGCAGCUCUGAAAUUGCUUCUAGAGCAAAUAUUUUCUUCCAUGGUAUGAAGAACUGCAUGUAUGACAAGUAUAAAAAUCUCCAGGGAUUUUUUUUGAGAUAUUGUAUCUUUAAGUAAAUUGAGAAUUUAGAAAAUGUAUGCAUGUCUGUUGGAAUUUAUUUAGCACAUUCUCCUGUAUUUAAUACAAUAGAUCCAAGAAGAAUAUUUCUUUGUUGAUUUAAUGAUAAAAAGAUGUGCCCCUUACAUGUUCAGCUUUUGAUAAUGUCUGCCUGAAAAAUAAACUAUUGAUAUGGCACAAAAUGAAUGUACUGGUUUUCUGAAAUUGGCUUUGCUAUGGUUUUGUAGUAACUUUUUGGAAACAUUGUUUUGUCUUCUGGUAAAUUUCACAAAAUUACACCCACUCAAAUAUAAAAAGAUGUUUUGGUUUUGUACUUCUAAUGCAUUUUAUAACUAUUGCAUAUGGAGAUAUCAGCCAUUGGUUGUGUUAACUUCUUUUUCUUCAUUUUAAUGUUGUUCCAUCAAACCGUGUGGGUAUUUGCGUACGUAUAGCUGGAGAUAAGAGUAAACCACAAAAUUACUGAAAAAAUGUAUUUGUACUUUUUUCAUAAUUAAGAGGUUG
This is an RNA transcript of Cygnus olor (mute swan), 2570 nucleotides long. RefSeq lists it as uncharacterized. The transcript is spliced from 12 exons. NCBI's taxonomy places the organism in Eukaryota, Metazoa, Chordata, Aves, Anseriformes, Anatidae. The record is from RefSeq and is a predicted model, not a curated record.